Chinchilla lanigera (long-tailed chinchilla) is the source of this 1253-nucleotide long non-coding RNA. RefSeq lists it as uncharacterized. The transcript is spliced from 7 exons. Lineage: Eukaryota; Metazoa; Chordata; Mammalia; Rodentia; Chinchillidae. The record is from RefSeq and is a predicted model, not a curated record.
AGGAAGUUCAUCUUUACUCAUUGCUGCCCACAGAAGCCAAACUGUUGGACACCAAUGAUGUAAACUAAGCAGAAGCUGCUUCAAAGCCAUGGGACUCUGGAUCAUCCCUACAAAGAUAAAGAUGCCAGGACAAUUUAAAGAAAUGGGAAAAUGCUGGAAAUCAGCUGGUACUUGAUUGACAAGGAACGGGUGAAACUAAGGGAAUCCAGCUUCUUCUCCAUCUUCCCAGUGAGAGCCAAAAAUAUAAAAGAAAACAGAAGAAAAGAGUGAGAAUCAGCCCUAGGACUUAACUACAAGGGUCAUGAAGUUCUAUAGAAGAUGGAAUUUUCAAUCUCUACAGGCUUACUAUUUUGAAGUCAUGGCCUUCAAAGCUAAAGGAAAAUGAUGGAGAUUAGUGCCACCAAUAAAGCCUGAAAGUAUCCUGGAAUAGGAGUGCUAAUCAUAGACCACAUGUCAUUCAACAAUCUGGGUCCUACAAACACUGGAGAGAUUCUGGAGGAUAUUAAGUGCUACAAACUCAAACUUAGCCUAGGAGUCAUCUCCAUUAUUGCCGUCAUCCUAGACAUUCUUCAAUUCGCCUGGCCAGCUGUGCAAUUGCAGCCCUGAGAGUCACCAUUCUAUUCUCACGAAGGAUAACCGGUACUACAACUAGCAUUAUCUCCAUCCCUGGGAAGGAGGCCAAUGCGGUGAAUCAGUUUGGCUGCUGGUUUUCUAAAAAACCACUCCUGUUGUUGGACUUCCAAAAUGGUCACAUUUAUUGUUUGGUAGAGCCAGCCGUGAAAGGGCAAGCUCACUGAACGCCAACAAAGAUUAAGAAACAACACUGAACUCGAAAUGUAAUCAGUGCAGAAACCCAAGUUCAAAAUACUUGGAAAUAUCUCUUCCUGGUGCAGGAAUACUAAUUACUAAUGCAAAACACAGGGAGGAAGAAAAUAAGCAGGAUAUAAUUUUUACCAAAUUAAACAUAAACGUGAGACCUAUUUCUCAAGCUUCCAAAAGUUGCCUUUAGGCUGAUGGCAAAUGGAGAAAACUCUACCCCACACAUGGGAAGUUAUGAACAGCUGGAAGAAGGUUAUUAUAACAUUUUCAGUCUUAACAGUGUUAAUUGCUCCUGUGGCUGAUAAAAGACCUAUGCAGCUUCCGAAGAGAUAACUAAAUGAAACAGCAGAGUUCUUGGUCCCUGGAUAGUGGCCAUGUUGGCCUCACAGUACCUGAGGUAACUCUUUUUUCAGUACCAGGAAUCGAACUCAGGA